CUUAGGCGUGUGACUGCGUACCUUUUGUAUAAUGGGUCAGCGACUUAUAUUCUGUAGCAAGGUUAACCGAAUAGGGGAGCCGAAGGGAAACCGAGUCUUAACUGGGCGUUAAGUUGCAGGGUAUAGACCCGAAACCCGGUGAUCUAGCCAUGGGCAGGUUGAAGGUUGGGUAACACUAACUGGAGGACCGAACCGACUAAUGUUGAAAAAUUAGCGGAUGACUUGUGGCUGGGGGUGAAAGGCCAAUCAAACCGGGAGAUAGCUGGUUCUCCCCGAAAGCUAUUUAGGUAGCGCCUCGUGAAUUCAUCUCCGGGGGUAGAGCACUGUUUCGGCAAGGGGGUCAUCCCGACUUACCAACCCGAUGCAAACUGCGAAUACCGGAGAAUGUUAUCACGGGAGACACACNGGUAGAGCACUGUUUCGGCAAGGGGGUCAUCCCGACUUACCAACCCGAUGCAAACUGCGAAUACCGGAGAAUGUUAUCACGGGAGACACACGGCGGGUGCUAACGUCCGUCGUGAAGAGGGAAACAACCCAGACCGCCAGCUAAGGUCCCAAAGUCAUGGUUAAGUGGGAAACGAUGUGGGAAGGCCCAGACAGCCAGGAUGUUGGCUUAGAAGCAGCCAUCAUUUAAAGAAAGCGUAAUAGCUCACUGGUCGAGUCGGCCUGCGCGGAAGAUGUAACGGGGCUAAACCAUGCACCGAAGCUGCGGCAGCGACGCUGAUGCGUUGUUGGGUAGGGGAGCGUUCUGUAAGCCUGCGAAGGUGUGCUGUGAGGCAUGCUGGAGGUAUCAGAAGUGCGAAUGCUGACAUAAGUAACGAUAAAGCGGGUGAAAAGCCCGCUCGCCGGAAGACCAAGGGUUCCUGUCCAACGUUAAUCGGGGCAGGGUGAGUCGACCCCUAAGGCGAGGCCGAAAGGCGUAGUCGAUGGGAAACAGGUUAAUAUUCCUGUACUUGGUGUUACUGCGAAGGGGGGACGGAGAAGGCUAUGUUGGCCGGGCGACGGUUGUCCCGGUUUAAGCGUGUAGGCUGGUUUUCCAGGCAAAUCCGGAAAAUCAAGGCUGAGGCGUGAUGACGAGGCACUACGGUGCUGAAGCAACAAAUGCCCUGCUUCCAGGAAAAGCCUCUAAGCAUCAGGUAACAUCAAAUCGUACCCCAAACCGACACAGGUGGUCAGGUAGAGAAUACCAAGGCGCUUGAGAGAACUCGGGUGAAGGAACUAGGCAAAAUGGUGCCGUAACUUCGGGAGAAGGCACGCUGAUAUGUAGGUGAAGUCCCUUGCGGAUGGAGCUGAAAUCAGUCGAAGAUACCAGCUGGCUGCAACUGUUUAUUAAAAACACAGCACUGUGCAAACACGAAAGUGGACGUAUACGGUGUGACGCCUGCCCGGUGCCGGAAGGUUAAUUGAUGGGGUCAGCGCAAGCGAAGCUCUUGAUCGAAGCCCCGGUAAACGGCGGCCGUAACUAUAACGGUCCUAAGGUAGCGAAAUUCCUUGUCGGGUAAGUUCCGACCUGCACGAAUGGCGUAAUGAUGGCCAGGCUGUCUCCACCCGAGACUCAGUGAAAUUGAACUCGCUGUGAAGAUGCAGUGUACCCGCGGCAAGACGGAAAGACCCCGUGAACCUUUACUAUAGCUUGACACUGAACAUUGAGCCUUGAUGUGUAGGAUAGGUGGGAGGCUUUGAAGUGUGGACGCCAGUCUGCAUGGAGCCGACCUUGAAAUACCACCCUUUAAUGUUUGAUGUUCUAACGUUGACCCGUAAUCCGGGUUGCGGACAGUGUCUGGUGGGUAGUUUGACUGGGGCGGUCUCCUCCUAAAGAGUAACGGAGGAGCACGAAGGUUGGCUAAUCCUGGUCGGACAUCAGGAGGUUAGUGCAAUGGCAUAAGCCAGCUUGACUGCGAGCGUGACGGCGCGAGCAGGUGCGAAAGCAGGUCAUAGUGAUCCGGUGGUUCUGAAUGGAAGGGCCAUCGCUCAACGGAUAAAAGGUACUCCGGGGAUAACAGGCUGAUACCGCCCAAGAGUUCAUAUCGACGGCGGUGUUUGGCACCUCGAUGUCGGCUCAUCACAUCCUGGGGCUGAAGUAGGUCCCAAGGGUAUGGCUGUUCGCCAUUUAAAGUGGUACGCGAGCUGGGUUUAGAACGUCGUGAGACAGUUCGGUCCCUAUCUGCCGUGGGCGCUGGAGAACUGAGGGGGGCUGCUCCUAGUACGAGAGGACCGGAGUGGACGCAUCACUGGUGUUCGGGUUGUCAUGCCAAUGGCACUGCCCGGUAGCUAAAUGCGGAAGAGAUAAGUGCUGAAAGCAUCUAAGCACGAAACUUGCCCCGAGAUGAGUUCUCCCUGACUCCUUGAGAGUCCUGAAGGAACGUUGAAGACGACGACGUUGAUAGGCCGGGUGUGUAAGCGCAGCGAUGCGUUGAGCUAACCGGUACUAAUGAACCGUGAGGCUUAACC
Molecule: ribosomal RNA, 2451 nt
Filed under: Escherichia coli
Lineage: Bacteria; Pseudomonadati; Pseudomonadota; Gammaproteobacteria; Enterobacterales; Enterobacteriaceae
Description: bacterial LSU rRNA
Rfam family: Bacterial large subunit ribosomal RNA
Source: RNAcentral